ACAACAUUCGGACCGUCGGUCUACUGAGCGAUAUCACGCGCUCGGUGGAAGAUAUGAAGAUACUUUCCUUUGGUCGU
Molecule: microRNA precursor, 77 nt
Filed under: Bombyx mori (domestic silkworm)
Lineage: Eukaryota; Metazoa; Arthropoda; Insecta; Lepidoptera; Bombycidae
Description: mir-2774 microRNA precursor family
Rfam family: mir-2774 microRNA precursor family
Source: Rfam by way of RNAcentral